RNAcentral lists this ribosomal RNA (362 nucleotides) under uncultured Thermus sp. RNAcentral's name for it is "bacterial SSU rRNA". It matches the Rfam family "Bacterial small subunit ribosomal RNA", at positions 1019 to 1382 of the family's 1533-position model. The record is from RNAcentral. Lineage: Bacteria; Thermotogati; Deinococcota; Deinococci; Thermales; Thermaceae.
CAGGGGAGCCCUAGCACAGGUGCUGCAUGGCCGUCGUCAGCUCGUGCCGUGAGGUGUUGGGUUAAGUCCCGCAACGAGCGCAACCCCGCCGUUAGUUGCCAGCGGUUCGGCCGGGCACUCUAACGGGACUGCCCGCGAAAGCGGGAGGAAGGAGGGGACGACGUCUGGUCAGCAUGGCCCUUACGGCCUGGGCGACACACGUGCUACAAUGCCCACUACAAAGCGAGGCCACCCGGCAACGGGGAGCUAAUCGCAAAAAGGUGGGCCCAGUUCGGAUUGGGGUCUGCAACCCGACCCCAUGAAGCCGGAAUCGCUAGUAAUCGCGGAUCAGCCAUGCCGCGGUGAAUACGUUCCCGGGCCUU